RNAcentral lists this unclassified non-coding RNA (300 nucleotides) under Endogonales sp. RNAcentral's name for it is "partial contains small subunit ribosomal RNA and internal transcribed spacer 1". The stretch from base 1 to 46 matches the Rfam family "Eukaryotic small subunit ribosomal RNA", at positions 1786 to 1831 of the family's 1831-position model. The record is from RNAcentral. Lineage: Eukaryota; Fungi; Mucoromycota; Endogonomycetes; Endogonales.
AAGUCGUAACAAGGUUUCCGUAGGUGAACCUGCGGAAGGAUCAUUAACAAUUAUCCAUUUUCCUUUGCAUAUGGAUGGUUUAAAUCCAUAUCCACCUUUGUGUGCACAUCAUCGACAUGUUUGCUUUGGCAGUUUGCAGGGAGAUCCUUUACCGUUUCUCCGUGGAGGGAAAGAGAAAGUGGGGAGCGGAGGGAGAGAGAGAAGAAACACUUUUCCUCUCUGCUUUUUUUCCUUCCUUCUCGCCUCUCUUCCCUCCGGCACUGCCAGAGUUUUUUCUUCUUUCAUCUUGACAAACUAUUC